This 712-nucleotide ribosomal RNA is filed under the name Pseudogymnoascus sp. RNAcentral's name for it is "partial large subunit ribosomal RNA". It matches the Rfam family "Eukaryotic large subunit ribosomal RNA", at positions 84 to 817 of the family's 3401-position model. The record is from RNAcentral. Lineage: Eukaryota; Fungi; Ascomycota; Leotiomycetes; Thelebolales; Thelebolaceae.
UAACGGCGAGUGAAGCGGUAACAGCUCAAAUUUGAAAUCUGGCCUCACGGUCCGAGUUGUAAUUUGUAGAGGAUGCUUCGAGCAUGGUCUGGCCUAAGUUCCUUGGAACAGGACGUCAUAGAGGGUGAGAAUCCCGUAUGCGGCCAGGUGCCUACGCUCAUGUGAAGCUCCUUCGACGAGUCGAGUUGUUUGGGAAUGCAGCUCAAAAUGGGUGGUAAAUUUCAUCUAAAGCUAAAUAUUGGCCAGAGACCGAUAGCGCACAAGUAGAGUGAUCGAAAGAUGAAAAGCACUUUGGAAAGAGAGUUAAACAGUACGUGAAAUUGUUGAAAGGGAAGCGCUUGCAACCAGACUUGCGCGCGGCUGAUCAUCCGGUGUUCUCACCGGUGCACUCGGCCGUGCUCAGGCCAGCAUCGGUUUUGGCGGCUGGAUAAAGGCCCUAGGAAUGUGGCUCCUCUCGGGGAGUGUUAUAGCCUAGGGUGCAAUGCAGCCUGCUGGGACCGAGGACCGCGCUUCGGCUAGGAUGCUGGCGUAAUGGUUGUAAGCGGCCCGUCUUGAAACACGGACCAAGGAGUCUAACAUCUAUGCGAGUGUUUGGGUGUCAAACCCAUACGCGUAAUGAAAGUGAACGGAGGUGAGAACCCUUAAGGGUGCAUCAUCGACCGAUCCUGAUGUCUUCGGAAGGAUUUGAGUAAGAGCAUAGCUGUUGGGACCC